This 72-nucleotide transfer RNA is filed under the name Danionella translucida. It matches the Rfam family "tRNA". From Rfam's summary of the family: Transfer RNA (tRNA) molecules are approximately 80 nucleotides in length. Their secondary structure includes four short double-helical elements and three loops (D, anti-codon, and T loops). Lineage: Eukaryota; Metazoa; Chordata; Actinopteri; Cypriniformes; Danionidae. The record is from Rfam by way of RNAcentral. RNAcentral also lists the same sequence under 1 other name.
GUCUUGGUGGUGUAGUGGUGAGCAUAGCUGUCUUCCAAACAGUUGACCUGGGUUCGAUUCCCAGCUGAAACA